RNAcentral lists this transfer RNA (74 nucleotides) under Acidimicrobiaceae bacterium. Its description in RNAcentral is "tRNA-Met". It matches the Rfam family "tRNA". Rfam says of the family: Transfer RNA (tRNA) molecules are approximately 80 nucleotides in length. Their secondary structure includes four short double-helical elements and three loops (D, anti-codon, and T loops). Lineage: Bacteria; Bacillati; Actinomycetota; Acidimicrobiia; Acidimicrobiales; Acidimicrobiaceae. The record is from RNAcentral.
UGCGGGGUGGAGCAGUCUGGUAGCUCGUCGGGCUCAUAACCCGAAGGUCGGAGGUUCAAAUCCUUCUCCCGCUA